Molecule: long non-coding RNA, 1459 nt
Organism: Bos taurus (domestic cattle)
Lineage: Eukaryota; Metazoa; Chordata; Mammalia; Artiodactyla; Bovidae
Source: Ensembl
AAUGCUUCAGCUCUCAUUUUGUACAGCCUCGGCCACCUCUGAGACACCGUGUCCCUCUGACCCGAGGAGGAAGGCUUUGCUCCCUACACAACAGCCCCAGCAGGACAGCUGUUCUCAUUCCCGCUGUGUCUGGGGAUCUGAGAUAAUUGCAAUAAUUUGAGGACGUGAGAAAGAAGCAGCACAUCUUUUGUCUGCCAUAGUUCGUGACUGCAUGAAAAGGACGUUGGUUAUUCUACAUCCGAAAGAGUGGAAGGCUCUUAGUCCUCAGGGCAAUGAGCAGGAUGCUGUAACUCUGUUCCUUUGGGCACAUGGAGCUUUAGAACUUCCUGUAAACCCAAGUUCAAUGCUGUUACUUUGCUUAAAUCUCACGUCUCUGAGUAAGUUAGUCAUCAUGCUACAAUCAAGGAGCGUAGGUAAGCAAGUUUCAUCUAGAGAACUAGAGUGCAUGCCCACAGAAUUUCAUGCAGAAAGAAAAUAAUCCCUCAGAUCCAUCAGACUGGUUUUUACAUGGAAGUUCCUGAGCAUGAAUGUGUGUGAUUUAAUCUGCUUCUCAAACCCAGGACACCUGAACAUUUGCCCGAGAUCCUGAAGGAAAAGAGAGAUCAUGAAAGGACAAAGCAAACUUCAUCACCAGCUCCUUUAUGAUGGUCUCUGGUGGUAGACAUGACAACAUGGAGAACGUGCCUACAUCAGACGGUCCCCAGAGCCCAGAACCCCAGCAGGAGGACCACAACCACAGCCAGGGGCCACCCAACCUGGGGUGUCAGACUUCAGUCCCCACCACGUCUCCCAGCAUGCAACAAACGAUUAAACUGUUGAAUGGAUGAGAGAGUGUCACUCUUCAUGACAAUGAGAGAUGAUCUGGAGCAAAGAGCUUGGAAGGAGGAAACCGUGCUUGUCUGAUCACCUCUUAGGGCUCAUCCAUGUAAAAUGUGAGAGUCAGUGGCCUUAUUCUGCACAACACACCACACACACACAUACACAACACACAACAUAUGCACACAACACACACACACACACACAACCUUUUUCACAGAAGUAGAGUGAGGGGAGGGCCCUGGUCCCUUUGGGCUGCUGUAACAAAAGACCACAGCCAUGGAAGCUUAUAAACAAUAGACCAUUCUGGAGGCUGAAGGCCAAGUGUGGUUGGGGUCAGGGUCAGGGUCGGGUCCAGGUCGGGUCCAGGGUCUCCCUCACAGGGAGAUAGGGGCAGGGGCUCCAUGGUCCUUCUGUAACAGCACUGACCCCAUUCCUGAGGGCUCCACUCUCACGAUGAAGUGUCUCUCCUGGGUCACCUCCCAGUACCAUCACAUGGGCAUCAAGGUCUAAUGCAUGAAUCUGGGGGAGACACAAACGUAGCAGGAGCCGAACUGAACAUCCCUGGGCCAUACUUUUGAGUUAUUACUUUUUCACCUUUUUACUUAACAAGAUAAAUUUAAAAGCCAGAUGUGAUCAACCA